ACACGACGACUACCUUAGGGGUAACAGCGUAAUUUAUUUUUAGAGUUCUAAUCGAAAAAUAAGUUUGCGACCUCGAUGUUGGAUUAAAAUUAAUAUUUGGUGCAGAAGCUAAAUUAUUGGGUCUGUUCGACCUUUAAAAUUUUACAUGAUCUGAGUUUAGACCGGCGUGAGCCAGGUUGGUUUCUAUCUCUUUUAAAAGAAAAAUUUUU
RNAcentral lists this ribosomal RNA (209 nucleotides) under Platypus cylindrus. Its description in RNAcentral is "partial large subunit ribosomal RNA". It matches the Rfam family "Bacterial large subunit ribosomal RNA", at positions 2454 to 2643 of the family's 2925-position model. Lineage: Eukaryota; Metazoa; Arthropoda; Insecta; Coleoptera; Curculionidae. The record is from RNAcentral.